GGGAACGUAGCUUAACCUGGGAAAGCACUCGACUGAAGCUCGAGGUAUUGGGGGUUCAAAUCCCCCCGUUCCCA
This 74-nucleotide transfer RNA is filed under the name Candidatus Woesearchaeota archaeon. RNAcentral's name for it is "tRNA-Phe". It matches the Rfam family "tRNA". Rfam says of the family: Transfer RNA (tRNA) molecules are approximately 80 nucleotides in length. Their secondary structure includes four short double-helical elements and three loops (D, anti-codon, and T loops). Lineage: Archaea; Nanobdellati; Candidatus Woesearchaeota. The record is from RNAcentral.